UGGUGGAGCAUGUGGUUUAAUUCGAAGCAACGCGAAGAACCUUACCAGGUCUUGACAUCCUUUGACCACUCGAGAGAUCGAGCUUUCCCUUCGGGGACAAAGUGACAGGUGGUGCAUGGUUGUCGUCAGCUCGUGUCGUGAGAUGUUGGGUUAAGUCCCGCAACGAGCGCAACCCUUAUUACUAGUUGCCAGCAUUCAGUUGGGCACUCUAGUGAGACUGCCGGUGACAAACCGGAGGAAGGUGGGGAUGACGUCAAAUCAUCAUGCCCCUUAUGACCUGGGCUACACACGUGCUACAAUGGAUGGUACAACGAGUCGCGAAGUCGUGAGGCCAAGCUAAUCUCUUAAAGCCAUUCUCAGUUCGGAUUGUAGGCUGCAACUCGCCUACANGAAGCCGGAAUCC
Molecule: ribosomal RNA, 403 nt
Filed under: Carnobacterium sp. AZTITEMP68
Lineage: Bacteria; Bacillati; Bacillota; Bacilli; Lactobacillales; Carnobacteriaceae
Description: bacterial SSU rRNA
Rfam family: Bacterial small subunit ribosomal RNA
Source: RNAcentral